Molecule: long non-coding RNA, 4593 nt
Organism: Anas platyrhynchos (mallard)
Lineage: Eukaryota; Metazoa; Chordata; Aves; Anseriformes; Anatidae
Source: RefSeq, a predicted model, not a curated record
AAGAAGAGAGAAAUGUGUCUGCAGAGCUUGGGAGCAGGGAAGGGAGAAUACAAAUGUGUAAUAAGGACAGUGGGAUCCCUGCUGGACCCCUCAUGUGAGGGGUGCUGGGUGCUUGGGACCCGUGUCCCUGCCCGAGGGCUCGAGCUCAGCCAGCCCUGCCCACAGCAGCUGAGCCUGCCCCAGCCACCCCCCGCCUAAACCCUGCAUUCAUUCUUCAGCUGCUGGCUUCUCACUGAACAGGACUGGGAAUUCCCAGCCUGUGAGGGAGCUGGAAUCUCCCCGGGUGUUCUCGGCAGGAGGAGGGGUGCUGCCAGCAGUCACAUCUUCAGCAGGAGGGGGAAGCGCAGCAGGCGUUCCCAGCCACAAGUACCACAAGCACAGGUCACAUCCUCUCCAACAACCUCUGUAUGGACCAGCUCUGCUUCGAACAGGCACACAGGAUGCACUGAGCCCCUGAAGGAGCUGCCCUCAGCACUCCUUUCCCUGUUAUCAUGCCCGUCCACCAGCUCAACCAUGAAAUGUGCAGGCCAGAGGCACUGUGAGCUCUGCUGUGCUCCUAACCGCAGUGCGCACGGCUGUCCUCCCUCCUUUUUGGUGAGUGGAACUGCAUUAACUCUGCACUGGGCAGUUUGCCUCUAGCCCUAAAGCACUGCUUCCGUGGGGUAAAGCUCUCAGGGUGUAAAUCCAGCUAGGCACCAGCAUGGGCAGAGCUGCAGCACCUCGCCCCGCGCCCAGGCAGCCCAGCCGCAGCCCUUCGGAUCCAGCCACCAUCUGCCUGCUGAGUGCUCCGAGUGAACCGCCAACGUGGCAGCAGCCCAGAAAAUUAAAAUAAUGGCUUGUUACAAAACCAAUUACUGCCUAUUGUAUCGUAACCACUCCGGGGGUGCUGUGCCAGCGCGAAGAUUCCCUGCGUGCCGGGGGAGGAACCGCGGCGGCGCUGCCCGUGCUACUGGGACGCUGCGCAGCAGGUCCCUGCCCUGCAGUCGUGCAUCCCCCAUGCAUGUCGGGGAGAGGCCACAGGACCUCGUGUGGAAGCUGUCUCGGCAGUAACUUCUUGCUCAGUACUUUUUUUUUCCCUAGAAAUACACAGCUUUAAUGCACAGACAACCAACUGCUUGAUGCAGCGCGGGGCCUUCUAGGGAGGGUUUCCCAGCCUGUUGAGGAGCCCAUGCUUGCCAUUGCAUAACAGAAUUACAGCUAAUUAUGCAAGACCUCAGAGUUUGAUUAUGUCUAGCAAGUGCAAUGCUGAACGGGGUUUCUCCUGACCAUGACUCAAUUCUUCACUUGCAGUGGUAGCAGCAGCUCGGCCAGGGCCGGCAGCAGGGGAGGAUGCUGGGCAGCAGCUGGGGCUCACCCCCGGAGUGGUGUGUUCAUAAAAAAUGGGCUGUAAGCACCAAAACACUCACUGUGCAGACACAACAGGGGUUGUCUGAUCACCAGCAAGGGACAAACUCCUCUUACAAGAGCAGUGAUUGUCCCCACACGGUGCAUCCCCAUCUCACCCUGGUGCAUGGCUGGCAUGGGAAGGGGUUACCUGCUGCCCCCUGCCCUCCCCGCUCAGGUGCGCUGAGUUGUGAGGGCAGAGCCUACAAAAGGCACUGGGGCAGCACCCUAAUUCCAAGGGGGUUAGCAACAUGUGUGAGAGCUGGGGAUGGAGCACAAGAAGAAGCAAGGGAAUGCUGCAUCGUGAGCCCAAACCUCCCCAGGGCAGCGGGGGAAGCAUCUCUGCUAGUGCUGGAGGAAGACGGAGAGCACGGGGGGCUCCGAGCCCUUAAAGCUAACUCUGACUACACAGUGACUCCGGGGUCAGAUCAGCUCCCUGUGCACCACCAGGGACUGUGCCGAGAUGCAGAACUCAGCCCCCCUGCAGCACCACGGAUCCCCUCUCUGCAUGGAAGAGAAGCUUGAGCCCACGUAACCUGCUCUCAGGGGUGCACUCAGGAUUCAGCACUCCCAUUUUGAGGAGACAACAUGGCAAAACAAGGGUUAUUUGGAGGGGGCUCUUCCUUGCCAGGUGUUAAAAUACUGACAACUCCUGUCAAAGGAUCCUUUCAUGUAGACAUUCCCGGGCAGCCCUCAACAUGCCUGGGAAAUAAAACUGCUCUGGAGGAGCAGAGGUGCAUUAUGGCAAGCUCUUUGGUAACAAAUUCUCUCAUUAUACCAUGUUAUGACAUGGAUAAAUCUCUGUUAAAUAGCACAGCGAUUGCCCCGCAGGGAGAAAGGCUGCCGCUCAACACAGGCAUGCCUCCGCUGAUAACCUUAUCGUGUCUUAACAGCUCCAGGAUUGCCUUCAAAGAUCCUUCAACAAUAACAAACCCUUCUUUUAAGGAACUCCGUGCCGAUAACUCUGGGCAAGAAGGAUCAGGGCUGCGUCCCAUGAGCCUGUGCCCACAGCGCGGGCUGAGCACAGCAGCACGUGGGCCCCCUGCACGCCCUGCAGCUGCUGGAGCAAAGCGCUCCCCAUCCUGCAGCCACAGCUUGUGCAUGGCCACCACGGGAACAAGCACCUCAUUUCACUAUGUGUUUACAACCCAGAGACUCCACAUCCCCAGAGUAUGCUUCCAGCCUUAUUUUCCAUCCCCAGCUGUAUUUUCAGCCAAGAAGAGCGAUGUGUGCUCUCUCUAAGGGACAGCAAAAUGCAUGUCCUGUUCAGGCUCCAAGCAGAGAGGCAAACAGGUGCCUCUGCUCCUCUCUGGUAAUCUGUAGUUGCUGAUCUAUCACCAAUAAUGCAGCACAGGUGAUUUAUGUGCAGGCUGGUGCUAUGCAAUGGCUUUGAGUUGCUGGUGCUUUAUGAGCUGCAGCUGAAGUGCAUGCACCUGGCUUGCAGAGAGCACAGAGAGGUGCUGAGCCUUCCUCAAGCACAAAACAGGGCAGCUGCAAAGCGAAAUGCAGAACCUGGGAGACCGAAAUACCAGCACUUAUCGCAUGGACUGGUGCUGUCACCUCAAUGCUUCAGUAUUCUUUCUGCCACGGCCACUUCUCUGCCACCUGGGCUAAGGGCAAGCCUCUGGCUGCUCACUCAUGUCCUGCCUGUUUGUGCACGGCUUUGCAAGCUGGCAGCAGCCGCGACUUCUGCUCUCAGCCAUGCGUAAAAAGCUCCCGUCGCUGUCCCAGGCCAGGCUGCACCCCCAGGAGCAGAGGUUCGUGCGCUGGCGGGGGAGUGUGCUGCGGAAACUCCUUGGCCCCCGGCCAGAGGAGCUGUCCCUGGUAUGUGGGAAGCGAGCGCAGCCGGGGCUGUGUCUGCACAGCGGUGUCGGAGCCUCGGCCGGGAGCAGCUCCCUGGGACACCCGGGUGCAGUCCCCAGCACCACCAGCACUGCUGCAGCAAGGCUGAAAGGUGUCAGCCCUUUGAGUUCUUCCACACCUACACAAGUUUGAGUCUGUUCUGCCUUUGGGCGCCUCAUUCCUGUGCCUCCCGUUCCCGGUCUGUGCGUUGGACCAUCGGUUUUGUUCUUCCAGCUCUCGUUGUGCCAUCUCUGCACGUUGGGCUGCCUGUUACCGUACAUCUGCGGAGCACAACAGGUUCACCUUGGUGUGGCUGGAGGCUGACAGCACGGUGCAAACAGGAGCAGCCUGCCCUACGCUUCCAUAAACCUGCAGAACGUACGUGCCCCUUUUCUCCCUACAGUCACGGGGCUCUUAAUGUCAUCAUACCCUGGUUUGCUGCAGCGAAAAUACAACGGCACCUUUAGCUGCUCCUUCCCUGCCACUGUAAAGUCUUGUAGUGCAAGUCCAGAGCAGUAAGAAUAAAUGGAAAAGCACAAUCAUUAAAUGCUAGCCAUUUAUCAGCAUGAGCCUCUGUUUUUCAAGGGACUUGCUAUCCCAAAGGGUCCCUGGAUGGGACUUGUUUCACCUUUGCGUUUGAAACACGGCUACUUGGGUGAGACUGAGACCCUGCUGUAUCCACGCUGAACACAACGGGCACAAACACGCCGGAGUGAUGAAGCUCCAUGGUGUAAUCGACCCCUGUGGAGACCCCUCGGUUCCUCCCAGCAUAUCCCUUCCAGCAGUUAUCUCAGUGUCAUUGCUGCUGCAUCCAAGGAAAUGGUUUGUGCACUGCAGGGUUCAAGGGACCUCAUGCCCUAGAGAAAUUCAGGGAGAUUAAUGCGGUGGCUGCUGUGAAACAGCACUGAAUUAAGCCUUCAGAUUCCUGUCCGUUCAGCCCCUGCAGACAUCCCAGACCUGCUCUGGAAGAGGCCAGUGCCCUGCUUGGACCUGCAGCCACCAUGCAGGAUGCAGGAGGUGGCAGAGGUGUGUUUCCCCGUAUAUGCUGAGAGCCUCGCUCAAGAAAUAGCCUGAACCUUCUGCGUGGAGAGACCUAGCAGAGAAGUCCAUCUGCUGCACUCCUCCCAGGGCAGCAGAACCGCUAGGAGGAUGUGUCCCAACAGAUUCGGAGCUGAUAAAAUCUUAUUUAUCUUCAACUGUUGACACCGAAGCGUCUAGACUUGCCUGCUUCGGGAGGGCUGCAGCCAAGUCCUCCUUUCUCUCUUGAAGGAAAUGAUUUGCUCAACAAUUACUUUUUCCACAAAUCCUCCCCCCUCCUCCCUACCAGCCUUCUCCUCCUCCUCCUUUACAUUCCAGUCUCCUCAUUAG